GCACUGUAAAUUUGGGGGUAUGAGAAUUUGAUUGUCAUAAACGAAUGAAUAAAGUGGAAGAGUUGUAUGAUUUACAUUAUACCUAUAUAUUAGGCAACUCAAAAUACAAGUCGCGUCACAAAAGCAAGUGGAGACUAAUAGAAGAAUAUUAAUUUAGUAUGGCUUUUGUAUUCUGAAAAAUAUGCUUUAUAAUAAGAACGAUGAAAAUAUGAGCAAUAUGCAGCUAGUUAAUAUGUUUUAUUUUAAAAAACAUUCAAGUGCUUCCCCGAAGAGGUUUUUUUAGUGAAAUUUCAGAAAGUCUUGUCAGAUAUGGGAUAAUGUAAAUAAGAAUAUUUAACGUGGUAUAAUUAAAAACACAAUACACUUAAAUGAAAUCAGUUGAAACGAAUAGAUAGUAAAAAUGUCAGAAACAAUAUGAUACAAAAGAUUAGAGCUACAUAAUAAUAAAGCCUGCAACCCCUUACUUAGGUGUGGUAUGGUAUGGGCGGGUUAUGGAUACUUCAUUCCAGCGUCAGUGUUGGAACAUUGAUGAAACGAGAUUAUACAAUCUGCAUCUAAGGCAAGAGCAAAAUGCUAUAAAAUGAAUUAGCAGAAUAUAGCCCAAACCUCAGAUAACGUUUAAAUAAAGAAGGAUUCAGCAUCAGACCGGCCUUCACUUACUUACUUACUUCACUUCCCAGCGAACAUAAAAUUCAACGAUUGAAUUUUGUCAGAAUAUAUCAGAACUGGACUAUUAAUGAUUGGUAAACACUCUGUUCUUUGAAAGAUGCAUGCGAACAUGAGUGUUCUAGCGAAAAAAAGGGGAAAUUUUGAAAAUUGUAAUACCUAGUUGCCUUUUGUUACUGACUCUGAUAUCUUCUUCCUAAGAAGGAAUUUGCUUGGAUCCGAUGCGAUAAACCAAACAAAUUCAAAAACUAAUCACAAAAUGACAACUUUUUAAUGAAGAAAAGCUGCAAUUUAAGUCGUGGGCCUGUUAAAACAUUCUAAUCUUACAUGUAGGUAGAAGAUAAAUGUAACAGAAAAUUAAUUUGGAAUCUAACAAUGCAGACAAUGCAAAUACUGCUUUAUGGCGGACAAUUAUCACUAAUAAAGUCAUGCGUCGGAGUCAUUACUACUAAUUUACUUGUGUCAAAUAAUAUUUUUCAAAAGUGUAAAGAAAAAAUAAGCCAUCAGCAUGCGCUGCGUUAAUAAUUGAAAACAGGAUUUAAGGUAAUCAAAAUGUAUAAUCAAUUUUCUUUAUAGUGUAAGCAAACAUUGCUUAAAAUAGUACCGUGAUUCUAAAUUUCUAACUAUGUUGAAUGAUAUAUGUAUAUGUAUACAGUUGGUUUUGGUACAUAUAGAAUAAAUAAUUUAAAGCGGAUUUUAUCCUUCCUGCGAAACAUACAUACAAUAUUUUUAAUGAAACCAUCAUGGUAAAUCAGAAUUAUGGGUUACUCGGAUAGUUUUAAAGCGAGAACUCGACAGAAAAAUGGCCAUGACGACGGUGAAUAUCUAGACACCAAAUUUAAUUUACAGUAAUAAUUGAUACUGUUAUGUUUGAUUCACAUUUUUUAAAUAUGUAGGGUGCAUUCCACUAAGCACUCACAACCACGAUCUUUCCCGUUCCCCUUAGUCCAGAGCGUUAUAAUCGUAAACUCAAGUGGAAUGGCUUACGAGGCGUUUUGAGUGUUUAGAAUGCCAAAGCAGAAACAAUAAAGUAAAAGCUUUAAGAAGUUAUGCUACAAUCUGUAAGUCAUUGAUUUUUUUAGUGAAAUGUUUAACUAAUUUACAUCUUCUACGACGAAAGUAAAAUAUUUAGUGGUACGUCACAAGAAUGUAUAACAAGUACCGUAUCAAAUAAUGAGAUUGAUUCCCAUGGAUGCAAUCUGCGUUGCUUGAAUUUUGUUAAUUCCGCUAAUUCUUUCAACGCUCACUUCGAUCCACCUCAUGACAAGGUCGUCAUGAGUGACGUUUUCCCCGCGACCUCAAUGAUCGUAGUCGCUACGUGGAACGCCCAAAAGACUAUUUCUGGCGCCGGAACGCUAAGUGGAAUGCACCAGUACUAAUAUCUGUGUAAGUUCGGUAAUAAUAAUUUAAAAAAAUAGUAUGUAUAUGUCGUGUGAUGGUCUUUUAAAUGAAAGCAUUAAGGUCGAUUCCUAAACGCCGUCUGCCCACUGUUGGGCUCGCGGACCCUCGUUCGCUGUUCGUAGAUAGUUUACUACUCUAUGAAUAUACGAUACAAAAUCAACAUGUUCCGGAGCGGACUGAUAUAGAGCCAGAGCACUAUGUAAAAAAUACACCUAUCAAAUAUCAAUAACUAACAGAAAACAAAAACGGCUUGACAGCGAACGUUCUACACGAUUCUGGUCGCGAUAGGUAGCAGUAGCGAUAUGCGCUACAUCCGAUAAAUGCGACCAAUACCUUCAACAGGAGACGUUGUGGCAACGUUAUUUUUGAAAGCUCUUACGCAUUUCAAUCAUUUAAUUUGAGAAGAACGAUGAACGCAGUCGGCAACGGCGAGCGGAACAAAAGUUUAUUAAUCGACCUUAAAGAAGUGACGAACAUGAUGACGAAUCCUUAGAACAUGAUGUGCGUCCAGCCUAUCGAAACGUUCAAUUCUUAUGUUUCAAAUAGAUGUUAAGGAAGUCACUUACACUGGUACAGCGCACAGUAGAUAUUUAAAAAACCAUUAACCAAUGACAUAUGUCUUGGCUAUUAAGUAACUAUCUUCAGUGCACGAUUAAGGAUAACAAAUUUCACUUUUAUUUUAUUACAUUACAGUGUGUACUUAAAAAAAAAGUUGAUUUUCUAAGAGUUAAUUCCGAUUCAUUACAAUCCAUCAAUUGGAAAGUAUCGAUAUUUUUCUCUUCCGUGCCUAUCGCAGAAGUUAUAAGUGGGCAAUUAUAACCACAUACUUUUGCGUAAAUUUCAACGUUUGACGAUUUUCCACAGCCAAAUGACGAUAUGGGCAAAAAACUGAAAAAGAGGGUCGACCAAUCCAGUUCAACAAUUACGAUUAAACGAAAUAUACAGAAUACAAAUUAGUCAAUAGGAAAAAAGUUGAGGGAGAGAGAGAAAAAAAUUGUUUACAGUUACUUCACAAAUUAUCUUUACCAGAUAAUCUAUAGAAGAGGUUUUGUUGAACUAAACACGCUAAUUCUAAUUUGACAUGAAAAGCAGACGACAAACUUCGGAAUGACGUCUUUCAGUGGCAGUAAAGAGUGAGAUUAUUUACCGUUAAGCUGCAUAUGAGAUGAUAAAUUAAUUAAUUAAUUAAUUCGUGGAUUUUGUAUCACGUACCAACGUUAGGGUACCAUUUCACAAGACUAUCAAGUUCCUGGCUCAAACACCCUAUAUGACUCCAUUAGUGUUAUGUUCGAAUUACAACGGCUUUCAAUCGAUUAUAAAAGACAUGGCAGAAACUCGGCGGGUACAUAAUUCUAUUUCUUUAUUCAAAUGAAUUUGAUGGACUUCCAGUACUUAUUUUAAAACUGAUAUUAAACAAAAAAAGCCGUGAGCAGCAGAGCUCCAUCACGAAAGUCGAAUUUUUCGUCGAAUGAAGAAUUUAACUAAUACACAAACAAAUCUUUCCAUAAAAUGAAUUUCUUCGAAAUGAUAUCAAUUCUCAAUUUUAUUUCUUUAUAUGGAAAAUUUGCUAUUCCUCAAUAACUUUUCAUUUCACAAGUUAACUAUCUCUCUCUCUCUCUCUCGAAUGAAAAUUCAUAAUUUCAAUAGACGCGGUGGUCUCGAACCCUCUUGUUCAAUUCCAAUUGACAACAAAGAAAAAAUUGUCAUAAUGACAAGAAAUUUCGAAAAUGGGAUGUAAAAAAAAUCACCCUAGCAACGAUCAUAUUCGUAUUAUUCAUUAAAUAGGAGGCGGUCCAGUUCAACAAUUACAACGAUCAAAAUGAUUUCGGGCGUUUUGUGCUAGAAGAACUGAAGAAGAAAACUUUGAACUUGAGAAAGACAAUUCUUCAACAUCACCCCUACUUACAUGCGAAGUUAAACUUUUUCUGGUCAAAAAAUAAGAAAAUAUAACAAAAAUGACCAUAAAAUGGAGAGGGGUGGAGAUGGAAAGUUUCGACCUUAGACAGGAAAUCAUCUCGCAACUAUUUGAACCUACAUGUGAAAUUUCAUUUUUCAGUCGCUUUUCGUUUGACCUGCAGAGGUGAGCAAAGGUCAAAAACCACUUUUUUUGCACUGCGACCCCUCGAAAUAUUCAUUUGUUUUCAACCAAACUCUAAUAACAUCAAUCCGCCGCCAAAAAAGCCAUGUGUAUGCUAAUUUUGAACCAAAUCGGACCCAUAGCAAUUGCUCGAGAGACGAAAAUAAGAAUUGUAGCUUAAACAUGGGAAAAAUUAUGUGCCCCCCAUUUUUCUUCUAGUCAUGCCUACUGUAAUAGUCUAAUUUUUCCUUGAAAAAUUCGACUAAAAACAAUGUUUAACAAGUUUUUAAGUUAUUAUUAUCAAAUAAAAUGCUUUAAUCAAAUGUAUAAUUAUGUAUUUAAAAUACGAAUCAGUUUUUAUUGAAAAAAUAGCAAGAAUAAUCAAUAGUGUAAAUGCUACGGGUUAGGACACAAUAGAUCCUUUGGUUCGCUGAAUUACACAUACAUUUAUUUAGAAAUUGAUGCUCCUACAUAAAGUUGAAAAUUAGCUGAACUAUCGUAUGUGUACUAAUUUUGUAUUUUUUAUUAUAAAAAACGGAUACUUCUAUAUAAGUACUUGCAAAAUGCGCAAAAUAGUAUAAACAAACCUCGCAAAAAGUAGUUUAGCUAAAAUUAUACAGCUCGCUCAUACUGGUAUUGGUUUAUUGAUACUACAUUUGUUUAUUAAAGUAUAUUAUGUUAUUAGUAGAUUUUCUAUUUGUUAUUGUAGGCAGUUAUAAAAAUUUUCAAACUUGAAUUUUUCAUAAUAAAUCUAAAGUGCAACGAAUUAAGUAACUAAUACCCCUAACUUGAAUUAAUAUAGGAUAGUGCGUAUUUUUACUUUCGUGUUUUAUAUUUUCCACAAAACAUUAUACUUACUAGAGCU
Diorhabda sublineata is the source of this 5009-nucleotide long non-coding RNA. RefSeq lists it as uncharacterized. The transcript is spliced from 3 exons. NCBI's taxonomy places the organism in Eukaryota, Metazoa, Arthropoda, Insecta, Coleoptera, Chrysomelidae. The record is from RefSeq and is a predicted model, not a curated record.